RNAcentral lists this ribosomal RNA (440 nucleotides) under uncultured bacterium. RNAcentral's name for it is "partial 16S ribosomal RNA". It matches the Rfam family "Bacterial small subunit ribosomal RNA", at positions 338 to 795 of the family's 1533-position model. The record is from RNAcentral.
CCUACGGGAGGCAGCAGUGGGGAAUAUUGCACAAUGGGGGAAACCCUGAUGCAGCGAUGCCGCGUGAGUGAAGAAGGACUUCGGGAUGUAAAGUACUAUCAGCAGGGAAGAAAAUGACGGUAUCUGAUUAAGAAGCCCCGGCUAACUACGUCCCAGCAGCCGCGGUAAUACGUAGGGGGAAAACGUGAUCCGGAUUUACUGGGGGUAAAGGGAGCGUAGACGGCAGGACAAGUCUGGAGUGAAAUCCCGGGGCUCAACCCCGGAACUGCUUUGGAUACUGUGCAGCUAGAGUGCAGUAGAGGGGAGUGGAAUUCCAGGUGUAGCGGUGAAAUGCGUAGAUAUCAGGAGGAACACCAGUGGCGAAGGCGGCUUACUGGACGGUGACUGACGUUGAGGCUCGAAAGCGUGGGGAGCAAACAGGAUUAGAUACCCUAGUAGUC